CAACUGUUGUAGAACAUUAUGUGCGGCACAGAACACACCACAAAGAGUUGCACCAUCUCUACAAUAGAAAACAAGAGAUCGAUGUACCACAUCGCUCAACUGAGACAUACUGAUCCUGCUGUUAUGUACCUUUUCUGGCAUGAAGUGCAGAACAUGAUACUUACAGGAACAGAGAUAGCAUUGAUGUAGUUCCCGCGCUUUCCUCCACUAAAGGAGAGAUAGAGACUGUAUUUGUCAACUGGAAAAAAAAUUAAAACAUUUGAUGUAGAAUCUUAGACGUCAUAAGGAUAUAGGAUGAACUUUAUGUAUUAUAUUUGCUCUACAUGUUGCCAAUUGAAUUCUUAAACAAAUUAGAUUGAAUGUUAACAUACGUAGACAAA
Molecule: long non-coding RNA, 380 nt
Organism: Ostrea edulis (European flat oyster)
Lineage: Eukaryota; Metazoa; Mollusca; Bivalvia; Ostreida; Ostreidae
Exons: 2
Source: RefSeq, a predicted model, not a curated record